UCAUUUUUCCUUUUAAGGAAAGUUUAGUUCUAGCUUAAAUUUUUAUUAUUUGUAAAUUAUAAUAUGUAAAUUUAUGUUUGAUUAAUAGUAGUAUUUAAAAAAUACUAUAUUAUAUAUAAUAUACUCAGUUUUUAAUAUUAAUUAUUAAUAUAUAUUAUAAUUAGUUAAUUAAAAGUAAAACUAACUAAGUUUGUGCCAGCAGUUGCGGUUAUACAAUAGGUUUAAGUAAAAAUAUAUUGGUUAUUAUAUUAUUAUGUUUAUAUAUUAUAUUAAUUGUAUUAAUAUUAGGUGAAAUUUUAUUAAUAAUAGUGAAUAUUAGGUUAUAUAUUAAUAUUUAUAUAUGAAAGCUUUACAAUAAACUAGGAUUAGAUACCCUAUUAUUUAUGCUGUAAAUUAUUAACCUUAUUAUUAUGAGCUAUGUCCUUUAAAAUAAAAGAACUUGGCGGUAAUUUAAUCUUUCCAGAGGAACCUGUCCUGUAAUUGAUAAUCCACGUUAUAUGUAACUUGAAUUAUAUACUUGUAUACCUCUGUCAUUGAAUGUUUUAUAAGAAUAUUUUCUCUUUACUUUAAUAUGUAAUAUGUUAGGUCAAGGUGCAGUAAUAUUUAAGUAGAGAUGGGUUACAUUAUAUAUAAUUAAAUGAAUUAUUAUAUGUAAUAUAUGGUAUGAAAUAGGAUUUGGUAGUAAUUGUAAGUAAUUUCUUAUAGUGAUUAAGGCUCUAAAUUAUGUACAUAUCGCCCGUCACUCUCACUUAUAGGUGAGAUAAGUCGUAACAAAGUAGGUUUACUGGAAAGUGAACCUGGUAAGAU
This 807-nucleotide non-coding RNA is filed under the name Himacerus nodipes. The record is from RNAcentral. Lineage: Eukaryota; Metazoa; Arthropoda; Insecta; Hemiptera; Nabidae.